Molecule: ribosomal RNA, 465 nt
Filed under: uncultured bacterium
Lineage: Bacteria
Description: partial 16S ribosomal RNA
Rfam family: Bacterial small subunit ribosomal RNA
Source: RNAcentral
GACGAACGCUGGCGGCGUGCUUAACACAUGCAAGUCGAACGGAAAGGCCCUGCUUGCAGGGUACUCGAGUGGCGAACGGGUGAGUAACACGUGGGUGAUCUGCCCUGCACUUCGGGAUAAGCCUGGGAAACUGGGUCUAAUACCGGAUAGGAGCCAUUUUUAGUGUGAUGGUUGGAAAGUUUUUUCGGUGUAGGAUGAGCUCGCGGCCUAUCAGCUUGUUGGUGGGGUAAUGGCCUACCAAGGCGGCGACGGGUAGCCGGCCUGAGAGGGUGGACGGCCACAUUGGGAAUGAGAUACGGCCCAGACCUCCAAGGGAGGCAGCAGUGGGGAAUAUUGCACAAUGGGCGCAAGCCUGAUGCAGCGACGCCGCGUGGGGGAUGACGGCCUUCGGGUUGUAAACUCCUUUCGCUAGGGACGAAGCUUUUUGUGACGGUACCUAGAUAAGAAGCACCGGCUAACUACGUG